RNAcentral lists this long non-coding RNA (822 nucleotides) under Phascolarctos cinereus (koala). RNAcentral describes it as "lncRNA (ENSPCIG00000036082.1)". The record is from RNAcentral. Lineage: Eukaryota; Metazoa; Chordata; Mammalia; Diprotodontia; Phascolarctidae.
AUGGCUAUGGCUCGCCCUAGCCCUCGAGGGACCCCAUUCUUGUCCCUGUUCUGCUGCCUCCUGGGGUUGCUGAUCCUGUGUCCCGGAGGGAAGCCCCAGACCGUGCUAACCGACGACGAGAUCGAGGAGUUUUUGCAAGGCUUCCUUCAGGAGCUGGACCCCCAGCGGAAGGAGGAGGCAGAGGGAGAGGGGAAGGAAGUGGAGCAGGAGCCCCCUGAAACCACCCUGACUCCCAAGAAAGGGAAAGCGGGAGGUAAGAAGCCUGUAGACACCGGAGUGGAAGGAAAAGAAGGGCCUCCGGAAAAAGCCAAAGACAAAGGAAAGAAAGGGAAGAAAGAUAAAGGUCCCAAGCCCACAAAGAGGCCUUUGGAGAACUCCCCGAAACCCACUAAGAAGGGGAAGGAGAAGCCCCCAAAAGCAACUAAAAAGCCCAAGGAGAAACGACCUAAGGCAACUAAGAAACCCAAGGAGAAACGACCCAAGACCACCAAGAAGCCCCCCACUGGGAAAAGUCCUCCCAUCCAGUUCUCCCUGGAGGACUUGGAGAGGCCUGUAGCCCCACCUCCUGUCCUGGAGAUCUACCCAGAUGAGGAAAUAGAAAGAGGCGGGGCCAUCUUUCCACCCUGGGAGGAUCAGGAAGGAGGGCAUACAGAUCUGGAAAGGAGGGAGUUCCAGCCAGGUGAGUCUUGGCAAGACCAGCUACAGAUAACCCCAAGCCCUAGAAUCCUCACAUGUGCUCAGCUAAAGCUCCCACUCCAGGCCCAACAUCUCAGCCUCCUUGCCACUUGGGAUCAACGGAGAAGGCAUCUGAUGAUGCUAUAA